This 4303-nucleotide long non-coding RNA is filed under the name Nicotiana benthamiana. RNAcentral describes it as "long non-coding RNA (NBEN_LNC014493)". Lineage: Eukaryota; Viridiplantae; Streptophyta; Magnoliopsida; Solanales; Solanaceae. The record is from RNAcentral.
GGAAACAGCCUCUCUACCCAAGGAUAGGGGUAAGGUUUGCGUACACACUACCCUCCCCAGACCCCACUAAGUGGGAUUAUACUGGGUUGUUGAUGAUGAUAAGGUACACCUAAGCGAGCCUACCGAAUAAACAUAGUAACAUACACUACAUUCAGUACAAAGUCGAUUCUUACACGCAACUUAGUAGAUGUAGAGAAACUAGAGAUCAAGCUAAAAUGGGAGGAGAAACAAAAACGAAUUACAUACUGAGAAAGACAAGUAGCCUUCAUUAGUAGAAAUCAAAAUUUUAAUAAUAGGUGUCAUCCCCACUUACUUUUGGAACAGGGGUGGGUUUCUAGGAAAUUGCCUAUAACUCUUCGCAAAUGUGGAAUUACACCAAAACAAAAAAGAAAAUGAAACAAACCAAGUUAAUAACCCAUACAAAGCGGAGAAUAAGAACCAAUACCACUUUUGAUAUCUCAUAAUUCUGCUAGUCUACAUCAACAAACUGGCAGUUGGCUACAUCAACAAAGAGGUAUGCUAGUACAAACUUUUGGAUGCAUAUGAAAUUAUUCGAGCUUAUGAGCAAAGCUUAGCUUACAGGAAAAAGAUUUCCAAUCCCCUGUGCCGCUAUUUUGCUCUUACAUAUAUGAUCCUACUAUAUAAGGAAAACAAUUAAUAUCAUAUUGAAGUCAUGAUGAUUGUACACCUUCAAAAUUAUGUCUCUCCAACCUCAACCUCCGCAUUUUGGGCAUUAUGAAAAGAGCGAAGAGAACCGAUUAACUUUCAUUUGUCGAUUGUUUAUUAUCAGACCAUGAUCCCAACAGCAGAGAAGCUCCAUGAAUUUGGCAACUUUCUAGAGUAGAAAAACGCAGAAGCUAAGGUAUAAUGAAGAUCUAUUAAGCAAAUGCAAGUAAAAACAAACAGCAUUCCCUCAAAUCCAAAGUGUAGGUGAUACAAUGGAGCAUGAUUUGAUGUGUAUACACAAAAUUAUAGUAUAAAGUAUAAACUGUCAAAUAUUGAUCAGAGAUAUGGUAUAAGCCAUAAAAGCACUUACCACAGUAUCUACUCUUUGAUCUUCAAAAAAGGUUUGUGACAUCGACAUGUCAAGCUUUUUCCUCUCGCAUCGCAUGGCCAAAGACCAUGGAUAAACAAUUGUUCCGGAAUACUAGAUUUGCAAGGAGUUUUGUUUGAUAGAAAUUGCAUCUCACAGAAUGUGGGUGGCCAUUGUAGCGCGUACUCCAUAAAAUCAUAUUGACAACUAGUUCUUGGGAUAAUAGCCAUCAAAAUUAAUACAAGUAGUAGCAAGUAGCUCUCCAUAUUAACUUGCUAGCAAUAUUAUUACAGUACCUACUCCAUGAAUGCAAGGAUGAGUGACAUAUGGGAAUUCACCUCUUCUUAUAGGGAUAUGAACAUAAUGCAAGCAAGCGAUUCACAACAUUCUCGUGAUGAAGACAAUGUUCAAAGCAUUAAGGCUUUUGAUGAGUCAAUAAAGCUUAAAGCUUUUUAAUGAUUUGUUAAGUCUGGCAGGAUAUGACCAGAUAGUGUGUCUUGAGGAUUACAUGUUUAGGAAUCACCUAUGUGAGUGUAAACUCCGUAGUCCAAUCUUAAUUUCAAACCAGAUAGUGUGUCUUGAGGAUUACACGUUUAGGGAUCACCUAUGUGAGUGUAAACUCGGAAGUCCAAUCUUAAUUUCAAACUUAUCGGAACUUUUAUUGCAUAGAGAUAUGAUAUGCAGUUUGCAACCAAUGCUUGCACAACUUAACAGUUCCAGUAUCACUUCUUAUUUAGGUUUUUUUCUUUAGGUAUAACUGUCAAUUUUGCAAGCAACUUGUAGGAUAAAGACAACCAUGUUCAGUGCCAGUACCAAAAUACUAAAUGCAUUAUCACAUAAUUUUGUUAUAAGGAUACAUACAAGAGAGGUUGCUCUGAUAGUAAGCAACCCCCACUUUCAACCGAGAGGUUGUGAGUUCGAGUCUCCCCAAGAGCAAGGUGAGUACCAAAAUACUGAAUGCAUUAUCACAUAAUUAUGUUAUAAGGAUGCAGACAAGAGGGGUUGCUCUGAUGGUAAGUGUUAGAAUAUGUAAUAGUAGAACCCUAAUCAAAUGUGUACUAGGAGUAGCCUAAUCCAAUGUUUAUUAGGAGUAGAAUAGGUUAUGUGUAUAUAUAUAGGGCUCAUUGUAUCAUGUAUAACAUCAAUUAUUAUAUUUCUCCCGUGCUUUCUCACAACUGCUAGAGACCAGAAAAGGACCAAACCAGAGGAUAACAACUUCAUUACUGCUAGAGACCAGAAAAGGACCAAACCAGAGGAGCUCUACGGUCAAUUAGGAAACACUGAACAAAAAUUUUAACUCCACACUGGGUUUUGCAUGAAAUCACCGUGCAGUUUUCCGGUGAUCUAAGUGACUAAUUGCAUCAAAGUCACUAAUUAUCAGUGUUGUGCAAAAAUCAACACCACCACAAGGUUCCAAGAGAGAUCCGACCAAACCCCAGCAAAACCCACCGGAAAACUGCCCUUCACGCGCCCUCAGGCGCCAGAUUUAUCAAGGUAGAUCUGACUCACGCGCCGGCACGUGAGCAUUGUUCCGGUGAGAUUUUGACGAAGGUCCUUCAGGGAAGUUGGACGCCCUCAACUUCCGAGCCUACCCAUAUUUUUACUUUUCAAUUCCGACCACUUUAAAGUUUUUCCGGCAUCUACAAUGAUUUUUUCCGGCAUCUAUAGUAAUUUUCUGGCAAAAACAGUAUUUCCUUCAUCUGUUUCAGCAAGUUUUCAACGCGAUCUACAGGAAUUUUCCGGCAAAAACAGUAUUUCCUUCAUCUGUUUCAACAAGUUUUCAACUAUGUCUUUGGGACUCUAUGCUUUCGGGUCUAGAAACCCGGGUUUGAUGUUAACUACAUAUGUAACAAGCUCGGUACAUAUGAUUUAUAUGCACCAGCUUGAGGGGAAGUGUUAGAAUANNNNNNNNNNNNNNNNNNNNNNNNNNNNNNNNNNNNNNNNNNNNNNNNNNNNNNNNNNNNNNNNNNNNNNNNNNNNNNUUAGGAGUAGGAUAGGUUAUGUGUAUAUAUAUAAGGCUCAUUGUAUCAUGUUUAAUAUCAGUUAUAUUUUUCUCCCGUGCUUUCUCACAGUAAGCAACCUCCACUUCCAACCGAGAGGUUGUGAGUUGGAGUCUCCCCAAGAGUAAGGUGGGAAGUUCUUGGAGGGAAGGAUGUCAGGGGUCAAUUACAACAAUAGCAUUAACAAUUGAUUAAAAAGGCAUCUAAGUCUAACAUGCCUUUACUAAAUCAUGUAUUAAAUGCAUUAAUAAUGGAUUGAGAGUCUUUUAAGGUGAAAUGUAUAUAUUUUUGUAAAAAUUAGUGCAGUAUAUUUAAAAAGCUUUUCGAGUAAUUCUCCUUUUUCGUUCUUUACCAAUUUAGUCCCAGAAAUUUCACAUGCUGCGGUAUGCAUGCAUGUGAAAGGUCGAUCUUUCCAACAACUUUUCUCGUAAUUCAUCAUAUUAAUUUGAACAUCUUAAUUUAUGUAAUAAUUCUCAAACAAACUUAAUUUUAAGGUUUAGUUUAGGGGUUUUUUCAUACUUGUUAGAAACUUUAUUAUCAAAAAUAUUCAUAUUUACAUAAUUACCCGACCUACCCAUGUUUAGUUUACAAAAAUAUAUACAUUUCACCUUACAAGUCUCUCAAUCCAUUAUUAAUGCAUUUAACAACGGAUUUAGUAAAGGCGACUUAGAUGCUUUUUUAAUCAAGUGUUAAUGCUAUCGUUGUAAUUGACCCCUGAGGAUUUAGUAAAGGCAUGUUAGACUUAGAUGCCUUUGGUAGGGUGUAUAUUUAAAAAGCUUUUCGAGUAAUGCUCCUUUUUCGUUCUUUACCAAUUUAGUCCCAGAAAUUUCACAUGCUGCGGUAUGCAUGCAUGUGAAAGGUCGAUCUUUCCAACAACUUUUCUCGUAAUUCAUCAUAUUAAUUUGAACAUCUUAAUUUAUGUAAUAAUUCUCAAACAAACUUAAUUUUAAGGUUUAGUUUAGGGGUUUUUUCAUACUUGUUAGAAACUUUAUUAUCAAAAAUAUUCAUAUUUACAUAAUUACCCGACCUACCCAUGUUUAGUUUACAAAAAUAUAUACAUUUCACCUUACAAGUCUCUCAAUCCAUUAUUAAUGCAUUUAACAACGGAUUUAGUAAAGGCGACUUAGAUGCUUUUUUAAUCAAGUGUUAAUGCUAUCGUUGUAAUUGACCCCUGACAUCCUUCCCUCCAAGAACUUCCCACCUUACUCUUGGGGAGACUCCAACUCACACCCUCUCGGUUGGAAGUGGAGGUUGCUUACUGUGAGAAAGC